Molecule: non-coding RNA, 2803 nt
Organism: Schizosaccharomyces pombe (fission yeast)
Lineage: Eukaryota; Fungi; Ascomycota; Schizosaccharomycetes; Schizosaccharomycetales; Schizosaccharomycetaceae
Source: the annotation of a GenBank genome assembly
UAAGUAUAUAUGAGUAAGAUGCAUUUACUAGACAAAGAGGAAUAAAAUAAAAGAAAGUGAUAAGGAAAGGUUCUAUUACUAAAGUCUAUUUAACAGCCAUAUCAAUGGUUUAAAACGCUUACAGACCAAACGGUCCAUAAAACUUGAACACCAAAAAUAUCAACAAAUAAAAGAUAUGUUGGCAUUCGUAAUUACAAGUAAGCAAAUACUUAUUAACUAGAACCUAGUAGGUUCGUCGAACUUGCUUUCAUCAUCACCAACCUGACUUCUAAAGUCUUCAAAGUCGGUAGCGUUGCUUUCUCUUCGUUUGUAUUGAGCAAAGACAUUCCAUUCUUCAAGAUACGAGGAAGAGUAUAAGUUCGGAAGAUUAGAAAACGAAGGUAACAUGGCAGAACCGGCAUUCUGUAUAGGAGAUAGUGAUCUUUGUACAUUGAGGUCUCUUUUAAAUUUUUGAGGUUUCUGAGGAGGAGUAAGGGUUAAGGAAAACUUUUGUAAGCUGUUCAAAGUGCCUUCAACUAAAUAUCCUUUUUCCUUGCAAUGGAGGACAAAAUGAUACCAUAAAGCAUGUUUAGCAAGGACUUUUGGAUUACCGAGAACAAUUACACCAUACUUUGCUCGAGUCAAUGCAACGUUCAACCUUCUUGGAUCGUUAACAAAACCAAUACCUUGGUGUUCACUAGAACGUACACACGACAAAAUAAUGAAGUCCUUUUCUCUUCCUUGGAACGCAUCCACCGAUGCUACUUCAACAGCUUUAUAAAGAUCCUUCUGCAUUGAUCCGUUAUUUUGCAUGUACUGAACAAUAUAGGAACGCUGACCAUCAUAUGGAGUAACAAUACCAAUUUGCUCAGGAAGCACGUUGCUUCUUAAAAAUGUGGUAACAAUUUUUUCACACGUUGAGGCUUCCGUUCUGUUUAAAAAUGAUGUACCGCUAGCCGACAGCUCUUCCUGACCGAAAUUUGCAUAAAACAUUAAUGGCGAAUCAGGUUGUAUCCAUGGAAAAUCAACAUGUCUAGCAAUACGCUCAGAAGUAGUGACACCAUUUUGAAGAGUACCUUCAUAAAAAGUGUUCGAUGGAAAUUCUGAAAGACAGGGAUGCAUACGAUAUUGCACAACUAAUCUGAAAGGAGAGUUUCCUAAUAUAAUCAGUCGCUCAAAAAGUGAUUGGGAAAGGCUAGCUAAUGCAACCUUUUUAUUCAUAACAACCGGUCCCAGUUGUUGGUGAUCACCAACAAGUACUACUUGUUUGGCGCCUAAAACUAAAGGAAUCAUGCAUUCAGGUUCUGAAGCCUGUGUAGCUUCGUCAAUAAGUACUGAACGAAAUUUGUACUUGGAAAUCCUUCUAUCACCAGCACCAACACAAGUACAACAAAUGACAUGAGCCGCACGUAAUAGUUCUUUUUCGGCAGCAGCAACCAAAAUACGCAGUUUUUUUUCAUCCUGAAUAGAUAAUUCGUUAUUUUCACUUCGUAGCUUCAAUAAACGUUGUAACUCUGGAUUAAACUUAUAGUUUUUAAUUUGCUCAUGAAGAGAUAAAAAGGAAACCGAUGAUUCUAUGUCUUCUCUAGACUUUGCGGCAACUCGAACGACACGAAGUCCUGUACGAUGUAUUUUUUCAGCAAGUUGGUCAACAGCAACAUUCGAAGGUGCACAAACUAAUACGGGAGAAUGGGAUUUACGCUUGCGUGAUUGCAUCGUGGCCAGGUGAUAGACUACAGAUGCUGAGGUGACAGUUUUUCCAGUACCUGGCGGCCCUUGAAUUAACGAGAGUGGCUUACUUAAUACUGCACGAACAGCUUCGCUCUGACUAGCAUUCAAUUUUGGCAGAUUAGGCACCGAUAAAUCAGACGGUAAUUUUGGUUUCAGGAAGGAAGGAGGGAUAUCGUGUCCUAGCAAUUUAUGAUACAAAAAGCUUGAAAGACGUGAUCCGUCUGUAGCAAAUAACCUCAAAGCAGUCUGCAUUCGAUCAAAUGAAGUAGAUUUCCAAACAUAAUCGACGGAAAAAUUAUGAGUACAUUCGAUAGGUACUUUAUCUGAACGCUUCAGUUCUAAACCUACCUCAUCUGAAACGUUGUUAGGAAUUUUAAUAACAUAUCCUGUGGAGCUCCAGGGUGCUCUUAGUUCUCCUUCAUAUGUAAGCUUCAUUUCAUCUCCUAUGGCCAACCGAAUUUCACCAGAUUCAAGUUUGGGAAGGAGAAACCAAGCAGUAUAUCGUUUAUUGAUAGCUUGAUCCCACCGAACCACAACAUCUUUUUGAGUCUGCGAUUCUUUGAGUCGUUUAUCAUAGUCAGCCUCCGCUUGAAUGAGCGGAGAAAGAACUGCUUGAUACGCGUGAGCAUCUUUAUAUCGAAGUUCUACUGAAGGUAAUGAAUCAUCCUCAAUGGGCUUAUCCAAGUCUUCGAGGUUAGCAUUAGGGUCUUUACGCCAAAGUUCUUCAAGCCUAACCAUUUGCUGUGAAGUGAUUGGGAUUGCAAGCUUUUGUUCCUCUUCGGAUGGAGGAGUUAUCAACCAUGGAAGAAACUGACGAUCUGAAAUAAUGGGUUGCCAUUGAGUCAAGUCCCAGUUCAUAUCCUUAGCUAUGCUAGCUCUAGCACAAGGUUGUCGGCAUAAUAAAACAACCACUGUCUUAGCUUUUGCUGGUAUAAAUCCUAAUAGAAACACAUUUCUCGUUCCACAAUUAUAACACUCAAGUACUGUGUCUGAAAGAGAAGAAUGGCUAUGUAAAGCAACCUGCUUAUGUCGAGCACGAACUAGGUGACUAAUGAUAUGCGAAGCUCCAGAUUUCCCUCUUACAUUACAAAAC